AGAGGUCUCAACCGUUGUUCGGAUUCAUUGGGCGUAAAGGGUGCGUAGGCGGCGGGGUAAGUCAGGUGUGAAAUCUCGGGGCUCAACCCCGAAACUGCACUUGAUACUGCCUUGCUCGAGUACUGGAGAGGAGACUGGAAUUUACGGUGUAGCAGUGAAAUGCGUAGAUAUCGUAAGGAAGACCAGUGGCGAAGGCGAGUCUCUGGACAGUUACUGACGCUGAGGCACGAAGGCCAGGGGAGCAAACGGGAUUAGAUACCCCGGUAGUCCUGGCAGUAAACGGUGCACGUUUGGUGUGGGAGGAUUCGACCCCUUCCGUGCCGGAGCUAACGCGUUAAACGUGCCGCCUGGGAAGUACGGUCGCAAGAUUA
Molecule: ribosomal RNA, 371 nt
Filed under: uncultured bacterium
Lineage: Bacteria
Description: bacterial SSU rRNA
Rfam family: Bacterial small subunit ribosomal RNA
Source: RNAcentral